AUGAGUCUAGCUAAACUUUAUCCAAAAGAUUUUGAUGAUGGAGAACUCAGGGACCUUAGGCAUCACUUUCAUCUUUACAUUGCUGAUGUCCGAGCAGAUGAUCGCUUCUCUAGAUUAAGUAAUAUUUGUGAGCUCUCUCAAAAACUGGUGGAGACAAGAAAACAUAUUGUCUAUCCCUUGGUUUAUUGACUUUGGAAGCUAGCACUAGUAUUGCCUGUUGCCACUUCUAUGGUUGAGAGAUCUUUUUCAGCUAUGAGAAUUGUAAAGACAUAUUUGCGCAAUCAUCUUGGUGACGACGCCUUAAAGUACGACCUAAUUUGUUAUGUGGAGAAAAGCGAAAUGAGGAAGGUUACUAAUGAUGCGGUAAUUGAUCGAUUUGAAGCCAUGAAAAAACGUCGGUAA
This 402-nucleotide ribosomal RNA is filed under the name Triticum aestivum (bread wheat). RNAcentral describes it as "partial small subunit ribosomal RNA". Lineage: Eukaryota; Viridiplantae; Streptophyta; Magnoliopsida; Poales; Poaceae. The record is from RNAcentral.